RNAcentral lists this transfer RNA (73 nucleotides) under Candidatus Zixiibacteriota bacterium. RNAcentral's name for it is "candidate division Zixibacteria bacterium tRNA-Trp". It matches the Rfam family "tRNA". Rfam says of the family: Transfer RNA (tRNA) molecules are approximately 80 nucleotides in length. Their secondary structure includes four short double-helical elements and three loops (D, anti-codon, and T loops). Further hydrogen bonds mediate the characteristic L-shaped molecular structure. tRNAs have two regions of fundamental functional importance: the anti-codon, which is responsible for specific mRNA codon recognition, and the 3' end, to which the tRNAs corresponding amino acid is attached (by aminoacyl-tRNA synthetases). tRNAs cope with the degeneracy of the genetic code in two manners: having more than one tRNA (with a specific anti-codon) for a particular amino acid; and 'wobble' base-pairing, i.e. permitting non-standard base-pairing at the 3rd anti-codon position. The record is from RNAcentral. Lineage: Bacteria; Pseudomonadati; Candidatus Zixiibacteriota.
AGGACAGUAGCUCAAUUGGCAGAGCAUCGGUCUCCAAAACCGAAGGCUGGGGGUUCGAUUCCCUCCUGUCCUG